GAAGUAAAAGUCGUAACAAGGUCUCCGUUGGUGAACCAGCGGAGGGAUCAUUACUGAGUUUACGCUCUACAACCCUUUGUGAACAUACCUAUAACUGUUGCUUCGGCGGGUAGGGUCUCCGUGACCCUCCCGGCCUCCCGCCCCCGGGCGGGUCGGCGCCCGCCGGAGGAUAACCAAACUCUGAUUUAACGACGUUUCUUCUGAGUGGUACAAGCAAAUAAUCAAAACUUUUAACAACGGAUCUCUUGGUUCUGGCAUCGAUGAAGAACGCAGCGAAAUGCGAUAAGUAAUGUGAAUUGCAGAAUUCAGUGAAUCAUCGAAUCUUUGAACGCACAUUGCGCCCGCCAGCAUUCUGGCGGGCAUGCCUGUUCGAGCGUCAUUUCAACCCUCAAGCUCUGCUUGGUGUUGGGGCCCUACAGCUGAUGUAGGCCCUCAAAGGUAGUGGCGGACCCUCCCGGAGCCUCCUUUGCGUAGUAACUUUACGUCUCGCACUGGGAUCCGGAGGGACUCUUGCCGUAAAACCCCCAAUUUUCCAAAGGUUGACCUCGGAUCAGGUAGGAAUACCCGCUGAACUUAAGCAUAUC
This 584-nucleotide ribosomal RNA is filed under the name Colletotrichum gloeosporioides. RNAcentral describes it as "eukaryotic LSU rRNA". The stretch from base 226 to 379 matches the Rfam family "5.8S ribosomal RNA". Lineage: Eukaryota; Fungi; Ascomycota; Sordariomycetes; Glomerellales; Glomerellaceae. The record is from RNAcentral.